This 429-nucleotide ribosomal RNA is filed under the name Bacteroidota bacterium. RNAcentral's name for it is "Bacteroidetes bacterium partial 16S ribosomal RNA". It matches the Rfam family "Bacterial small subunit ribosomal RNA", at positions 355 to 776 of the family's 1533-position model. The record is from RNAcentral. Lineage: Bacteria; Pseudomonadati; Bacteroidota.
UAGGGAAUCUUCGGCAAUGGGGGGAACCCUGACCGAGCAACGCCGCGUGAGUGAAGAAGGUUUUCGGAUCGUAAAGCUCUGUUGUUAAGGAAGAACGAGUGUGAGAAUGGAAAGUUCAUGCUAUGACGGUACUUAACCAGAAAGGGACGGCUAACUACGUGCCAGCAGCCGCGGUAAUACGUAGGUCCCGAGCGUUGUCCGGAUUUAUUGGGUGUAAAGCGAGCGCAGGCGGUUAGAAAAGUCUGAAGUGAAAGGCAGUGGCUCAACCAUUGUAGGCUUUGGAAACUGUUUAACUUGAGUGCAGAAGGGGAGAGUGGAAUUCCAUGUGUAGCGGUGAAAUGCGUAGAUAUAUGGAGGAACACCGGUGGCGAAAGCGGCUCUCUGGUCUGUAACUGACGCUGAGGCUCGAAAGCGUGGGGAGCGAACAGG